AGGACGAACGCUGGCGGCGUGCCUAACACAUGCAAGUCGAACGAAGAAUGUUUUUCGGAAUAUUCUUAGUGGCGGGAUGGGUGAGUAACGCGUGAACAAUCUGCCCCGUACAAAGGGAUAGCCUCGGGAAACCGGGAUUAAAACCAUAUAACACUUAACUGCCGCAUGGUAGUGAAGUCAAAUCGAUUAAGAGGUAUGGGAUGAGUUCGCGUCUGAUUAGCUAGUUGGUGAGGUAAGGGCUCACCAAGGCGACGAUCAGUAGCCGGCCUGAGAGGGUGAACGGCCACACUGGAACUGAGACACGGUCCAGACUCCUACGGGAGGCAGCAGUGGGGAAUAUUGCACAAUGGAGGGAACUCUGAUGCAGCGACGCCGCGUGAGUGAAGAAGGUCUUCGGAUCGUAAAACUCUGUCCUUGGUGAAGAAAAGGACGGUAGCCAAGGAGGAAGCCCCGGCUAACUACGUG
RNAcentral lists this ribosomal RNA (465 nucleotides) under uncultured bacterium. RNAcentral's name for it is "bacterial SSU rRNA". It matches the Rfam family "Bacterial small subunit ribosomal RNA", at positions 26 to 507 of the family's 1533-position model. The record is from RNAcentral.